GACGAACGCUGGCGGCGUACUUAACACAUGCAAGUCGAACGGUGAAGCGCUUGCCUUUUUGGUGGGUGUGGAUGAGUGGCGAACGGGUGAGUAACACGUGAGUAACCUGCCCUCUUCUUCUGGAUAACCUCAUGAAAGUGGGGCUAAUACGGGGUAUUCCGGGUCUGUCGCAUGGCGGGUUUGGGAAAGAUUGCGCCUUUGGGUGUUUUCGGUGGGGGAUGGGCUCGCGGCCUAUCAGCUUGUUGGUGGGGUGAUGGCCUACCAAGGCGGUGACGGGUAGCCGGCCUGAGAGGGUGGACGGCCACACUGGGACGGAGACACGGCCCAGACUCCUGCGGGAGGCAGCAGUGGGGAAUAUUGCACAAUGGGCGCAAGCCUGAUGCAGCGACGCCGCGUGAGGGAUGGAGGCCUUCGGGUUGUGAACCUCUUUCGCCAGUGAAGCAGGCCUGCUCCUGUGUGGGUGGGUUGACGGUAGCUGGAUAAGAAGCGCCGGCUAACUACGUG
This 504-nucleotide ribosomal RNA is filed under the name uncultured bacterium. RNAcentral's name for it is "partial 16S ribosomal RNA". It matches the Rfam family "Bacterial small subunit ribosomal RNA", at positions 28 to 507 of the family's 1533-position model. The record is from RNAcentral.